RNAcentral lists this ribosomal RNA (426 nucleotides) under uncultured bacterium. RNAcentral describes it as "partial 16S ribosomal RNA". It matches the Rfam family "Bacterial small subunit ribosomal RNA", at positions 354 to 796 of the family's 1533-position model. The record is from RNAcentral.
GUGAGGAAUUUUCCGCAAUGGGCGAAAGCCUGACGGAGCAAUGCCGCGUGAAGGAUGAAGGCCUAUGGGUUGUAAACUUCUUUUCUCAGAAAAGAAUUAUGACGGUAUCUGAGGAAUAAGCAUCGGCUAACUCUGUGCCAGCAGCCGCGGUAAGACAGAGGAUGCAAGCGUUAUCCGGAAUGAUUGAGCGUAAAGCGUCUGUAGGUUGUUUAAAAAGUAUUCUGUCAAAGAUUAGGGCUUAACCCUAGAUAGGCAGAAUAAACUUUUAAGCUAGAGUUUGGUAGAGGCAGAGGGAAUUCCCGGUGGGGCGGUGAAAUGCGUAGAUAUCGGGAGGAACACCAAAGGCGAAGGCACUCUGCUGGGCCAAUACUAACACUGAGAGACGAAAGCGAGGGGAGCAAAUGGGAUUAGAAACCCGAGUAGUCC